GGCAGUGUAGCAUAGUGGUUAAGGAGCAGGGCUCGUAACCUAAAGGUUGCUGGUUCGAUUCCAGUGCUGUUG
Molecule: transfer RNA, 72 nt
Filed under: Megalops atlanticus (tarpon)
Lineage: Eukaryota; Metazoa; Chordata; Actinopteri; Elopiformes; Megalopidae
Description: tRNA-OTHER
Source: RNAcentral